AUGGUCUCCAAGAUGGCGCCGUGGUGGUCUAGCAGCAACAACAACAAGGGCGUCGAGGCCCAUGGGCACAGAGGAGAUGUCGAGGAGGUGGUUCCAGAGGCGAGGAACCAUGGCGGGGCGAACGAGCGCCUCGUCCUCUGCUCGCACAUAGCAGAGGCGUGGCUGGAGGAGGAGGCAACAGGGGCGCCGGGGUUGUCGCGGUCGGAGGCCAGGGCCGCGGGGCGGAGCAGCGGGCCUCGUCAGAAAACAGGGGCUGAGAGCGGCCGGGCUUCGGCCGUCGAGGUAGAGGAGGCGCUCGGGGCGGAGCAGAUCACAGCAGCAGCGAGGUGUGGAUGGCGGCGCUCGGGGCUUGAGGCGCGGGGCAGCGACGGCCAUUGGGCUCCUGCUCCUGGUGGUGGCGAUGAACACAGUCGCGGUCAUGGACGAGGGCUGGAGACGGGGCAUGGCGCAGGACCUGUGGGCACUGGAGGCGACGCCGGUCCUCGGACGAUGAGGCAAUGA
RNAcentral lists this ribosomal RNA (501 nucleotides) under Triticum aestivum (bread wheat). RNAcentral describes it as "partial small subunit ribosomal RNA". Lineage: Eukaryota; Viridiplantae; Streptophyta; Magnoliopsida; Poales; Poaceae. The record is from RNAcentral.